RNAcentral lists this ribosomal RNA (386 nucleotides) under uncultured bacterium. RNAcentral's name for it is "bacterial SSU rRNA". It matches the Rfam family "Bacterial small subunit ribosomal RNA", at positions 29 to 414 of the family's 1533-position model. The record is from RNAcentral.
AUUGAACGCUGGCGGCAUGCCUUACACAUGCAAGUCGAACGGCAGCACGGGGGCGAACCCUGGUGGCGAGUGGCGAACGGGUGAGUAACACAUCGGAACGUACCCAGUUGUGGGGGAGUAACCAGUCGAAAGACUGGCUAAUACCGCAUGAUCUGGCGACAGCAAAGCGGGGGAUCGCAAGACCUCGCGCGAUUGGAGCGGCCGAUGUCCGAUUAGCUAGUUGGGGGGUAAACGGCCCACCAAGGCUUUGAUCGGUAGCUGGUCUGAGAGGAUGAUCAGCCACACUGGGACUGAGACACGGCCCAGACUCCUACGGGAGGCAGCAGUGGGGAAUUUUGGACAAUGGGGGCAACCCUGAUCCAGCCAUGCCGCGUGAGUGAAGAAGG